CUUCGGCAGUAUUUCUCAGCAGUUGAAAAAGAGCUUCGACAGUUGGAGAACUUGAGUAUCCAAGACUACAUCACCAAAGCACAAGAUAUUGCCACUCUUCAUCACCAGAUCACAGAAUGUGACUCCAUACUUGAAAAUAUGCAAGGGAUGCUGGAAGGUUUUUUAACUCAUCUAUCCACAAUCAGUCAAGAAAUCCAAUCACUUCAAGAGCAAUCUGCUUCCAUCAAUGUUCAGCUUACCAACAGAAAAGUUGUUCAUUCUGAGAUGUCAAGAUUUAUUGAUCAGCUUAUGGUUCCUGAAGUUAU
Long non-coding RNA from Macrobrachium nipponense, 305 nucleotides. RefSeq lists it as uncharacterized. The transcript has 3 exons. Lineage: Eukaryota; Metazoa; Arthropoda; Malacostraca; Decapoda; Palaemonidae. The record is from RefSeq and is a predicted model, not a curated record.